Molecule: ribosomal RNA, 274 nt
Filed under: uncultured bacterium
Lineage: Bacteria
Description: partial 16S ribosomal RNA
Rfam family: Bacterial small subunit ribosomal RNA
Source: RNAcentral
AUACAGAGGGUGCAAGCGUUAAUCGGAUUUACUGGGCGUAAAGCGCGCGUAGGCGGUUCGGUUAGUUGGAUGUGAAAGCCCAGGGCUCAACCUUGGAACUGCAUCCAAUACUGCCAGACUAGAGUACGGUAGAGGGGGGUAGAAUUCCACGUGUAGCGGUGAAAUGCGUAGAGAUGUGGAGGAAUACCAGUGGCGAAGGCGGCCCCCUGGAUCGAUACUGACGCUGAGGUGCGAAAGCGUGGGGAGCAAACAGGAUUAGAUACCCGGGUAGUCC